Molecule: transfer RNA, 73 nt
Filed under: Camelus bactrianus (Bactrian camel)
Lineage: Eukaryota; Metazoa; Chordata; Mammalia; Artiodactyla; Camelidae
Also listed under: 2 other names
Rfam family: tRNA
About the family: Transfer RNA (tRNA) molecules are approximately 80 nucleotides in length.
Source: Rfam by way of RNAcentral
GAGGGUAUAGCUCAAGCGAUAGAGCACACACUUAGCAUGCGUGAGGUCCUGGGUUCAAUUCCCAGUACUGCCU